Molecule: ribosomal RNA, 372 nt
Filed under: uncultured organism
Description: partial 16S ribosomal RNA
Rfam family: Bacterial small subunit ribosomal RNA
Source: RNAcentral
GAAGGUGGCAAGCGUUGUUCGGAAUCACUGGGCUUAAAGCGCGCGUAGGCGGAAAUACAAGUGUCUUGUGAAAUCCCUCGGCUUAACCGAGGAAUUGCUUGGCAAACUGUAUUUCUUGAGGCAAGUAGGGGUACAUGGAACUCUUGGUGGAGCGGUGGAAUGCGUAGAUAUCAAGAGGAACGCCAAUGGUGAAGACAGUGUACUGGGCUUGUCCUGACGCUGAGGUGCGAAAGCGUGGGGGAGCGAACGGGAUUAGAUACCCCGGUAGUCCACGCCGUAAACGAUGUCUACUAGGUCGUGGGAGUUCUGACACUAUCACGGCCGGAGCAAAAGUGUUAAGUAGACCGCCUGGGGAGUACGGCCGCAAGGCUA